GUUUACAACAUCUCAAUUCUAUAUAUAGCUAUAUGCCUGGGACUUACUAACACCAAAUAAAGUUAAAUGAUUGUUUCAGGAGGAAGAAAUACCUUUUUAUGUCUCUAACAAUUCACAUUUUAAACAAUUCAUUUCACUAAUACUAAUUCUAGCCUUAUUUGAAUCAACAAAAAUGCAGUAUGGGAAAGUAAACAUACUCACCUUGCCAUGUGUAAGUAAUUACUAGCAUGAGCAUCUGGGGAGAUAGAUUCUCCACACUCUGACUGCCACUGACCUGCUGCUUCUGACUUCCUUGAUAAAAUCAGAUUACAAAGAAAGUGGAACACCUGGAAGAACUGGCGCUAUCUCCAUGGCAUCAGGCUUCAUGACAUCAGGUUCAACUCCUAAUCCUUAAGAGUAAAACAAGAGGGUAGAAUUCUUAAUGUGUUUUCUCAUAUCAAUUAAUGUUUUAUUUGGGAUGUUAACAGAGGCUUAUCAAUCCUAAUCCAUGCUUU
RNAcentral lists this long non-coding RNA (494 nucleotides) under Bos taurus (domestic cattle). Its description in RNAcentral is "long non-coding RNA NONBTAT029177". Lineage: Eukaryota; Metazoa; Chordata; Mammalia; Artiodactyla; Bovidae. The record is from RNAcentral.